Molecule: long non-coding RNA, 312 nt
Organism: Trachemys scripta elegans
Lineage: Eukaryota; Metazoa; Chordata; Testudines; Emydidae
Exons: 3
Source: RefSeq, a predicted model, not a curated record
UUCAGUUGCUUAAAAAUGUAAUCAAAUGUUCAGCAGCACACAUGACUGAGAAGUCUAAAGAGAAGAAAAGGAGGCACAAGCCCUGAAGAACCAACGCAGCUAUGGGAGAGUGAACUGCAUGCUUUCCCUUCUUCUACAUUACCGACUGAGUUGUCGAUUGCUUUCCAAUUCUGGUCAAUCAGUUUUGCCUGUGCGGAAACUGUAUAAGGCAAUUGGACAUUACAGAUUAUUACCAACUCUUCAGGACAGGAACGUUUUUCCUGUAAAGGACUUUUGGGUACUCCGUAAAUUAAGAAAGACAACCACCAACAC